Molecule: ribosomal RNA, 253 nt
Filed under: uncultured bacterium
Lineage: Bacteria
Description: partial 16S ribosomal RNA
Rfam family: Bacterial small subunit ribosomal RNA
Source: RNAcentral
UACGUAGGGGGCUAGCGUUGUCCGGAAUCAUUGGGCGUAAAGAGCGUGUAGGCGGCCCGGUAAGUCCGCUGUGAAAGUCGGGGGCUCAACCCUCGAAUGCCGGUGGAUACUGUCGGGCUAGAGUGCGGUAGAGGAGAGUGGAAUUCCCGGUGUAGCAGUGAAAUGCGUAGAGAUCGGGAGGAACAUCAGUUGCGAAGGCGGCUCUCUGGACCAGCACUGACACUGAGGCACGAAAGCGUGGGGAGCAAACAGG